Molecule: ribosomal RNA, 95 nt
Filed under: uncultured bacterium
Lineage: Bacteria
Description: partial 16S ribosomal RNA
Rfam family: Bacterial small subunit ribosomal RNA
Source: RNAcentral
CCGCCCGUCACACCAUGAGAGUCUGCAACACCCGAAGUCAGUAGUCUAACCAGUAAUGGAGGGCGCUGCCGAAGGUGGGGCCGAUGAUUGGGGUG